RNAcentral lists this ribosomal RNA (496 nucleotides) under uncultured bacterium. RNAcentral's name for it is "partial 16S ribosomal RNA". It matches the Rfam family "Bacterial small subunit ribosomal RNA", at positions 28 to 506 of the family's 1533-position model. The record is from RNAcentral.
GAUGAACGCUGGCGGCGUGCCUAAUACAUGCAAGUCGAGCGAACAGACGAGGAGCUUGCUCCUCUGACGUUAGCGGCGGACGGGUGAGUAACACGUGGAUAACCUACCUAUACGACUGGGCUAACUUCGGGAAACCGGAGCUAAUACCGGCUAAUAUCUUGAACCGCAUUGUUCAAUAGUUAAAGACGGUUUUGCUGUCCCCUAUUGUUGGAUCCGCGCCGCAUUAUCUAGUUGGUAAGGUAACGGCUUACCAAGGGGACGAUGCGUUGCCGACCUGAUAGGGUGAACGGCCACACAGGAACUGAGACACGGACCAGACCCCUACGGGAGGCAGCAGGAGUGAAUCUGCCGAAAGGGGCGAAAGCCUGACGGGGCAACGCAGCGUGAGUGAUGAAGGUCUUCGGAUCGUAAAACUCUGUUAUUAGGGAAGAACAAAUGUGUAAGUCACUAUGCGCGUCUUGACGGUACAUAAUCAGAAAACCACGGCUAACUACGU